This is a long non-coding RNA of Drosophila willistoni, 673 nucleotides long. RefSeq lists it as uncharacterized. The transcript has 2 exons. The record is from RefSeq and is a predicted model, not a curated record. Lineage: Eukaryota; Metazoa; Arthropoda; Insecta; Diptera; Drosophilidae.
UAUGUAUAUAUUUCCUUGGAUCCUAAACUGUUGGUCAUACUCUGCCUUAUUUAUGGCUUUUGACUUCCAUGCUUGAGUAAAUAUAUUUAGAAGUUAUCAAUAAUACAAAAACAUUUGUGUAGUGAUAUUUAGGUUCGAUGUGUAAUCGAAAACAAUUAAACUAUGUUCAUGAGUGCGUUAACCAAAGUGUGUAAGGACAUAGGAAUUCUCGCUUGACUUGGCCAGGAAAUUCGUCCGACUUAAACCCUAUUGGCCACUUAUGGCACGAAAUGAAACGAAAAGUGACAGACCAGAAACCACAAAAUAAGUUGCAGCUGAUUUCGUCCUUGGAAAAUGUUUGGGACAACGUUAUUACCGAGGAUACUCUGCGAGUCCUUGUUGAUUCAAUGCCGUCGCGAAUAAUGGCAGUUAUACAGGCUAAAGGGGGCGUGACAACCUAUUAGUAUUUUUUUUCUUUUCAUUUAACAUUACUUUUAAAAAAUGAAAUGAGUUAUAAAUCUUACAUCGGAGAUGAGCCCACAAGAAUUUUUUUCCGCUAACCAUUGAAUUUUGCUGUUUUUUUGUUUGGGGCAAAAAUCAAGGAUAUCAAUAGUAUAGAAAUAAAUAUUUUACUCCAUAACGUCUUUUUCCUAGUAAAUUAUCUUAUUGUAAAUAAAGAAACCUUAUUCUCUUA